RNAcentral lists this ribosomal RNA (651 nucleotides) under uncultured bacterium. RNAcentral describes it as "bacterial SSU rRNA". It matches the Rfam family "Bacterial small subunit ribosomal RNA", at positions 43 to 709 of the family's 1533-position model. The record is from RNAcentral.
CAGGCCUAACACAUGCAAGUCGAACGGGAAGGCGGCUUUCGGGUCGCUGGAGAGUGGCGAACGGGUGAGUAACGCGUAACUGAUCUGCCCCAUAGACUGGGAUAACCUUUGGAAACAGAGGCUAAUACGGGAUGAACUUGGCGGAGUUAGGUUUCUGCUGAGGAAAGGUUUAGGCGCUAUGGGAUGAGGUUGCGGUCCAUCAGCUAGUUGGUGAGGUAAAGGCUCACCAAGGCGAUGACGGAUAGGGGAUCUGAGAGGGUGGCCCCCCACACUGGGACUGAGACACGGCCCAGACUCCUACGGGAGGCAGCAGUAAGGGAUAUUGCACAAUGGGCGGAAGCCUGAUGCAGCGACGCCGCGUGGGCGAAGAAGGUUUUCGGAUCGUAAAGUCCUUUUCUAUGUGACGAGGUAGGACGGUAGCAUAGGAAUAAGUGUCGGCUAACUACGUGCCAGCAGCCGCGGUAAAACGUAGGACGCGAACGUUAUCCGGAGUUACUGGGCGUAAAGCGCGCGCAGGCGGUGUCAUAAGUUACCCAUGAAAGGUACUGGCUAAACUGGUAUUGGUUGGGUGAAACUGAGGUACUAGAGAGAAAUAGAGGGAAGCGGAAUUCCGGGUGUAGUGGUGAAAUGCGUAGAUAUCCGGAGGAAUAC